GGCAACAUGGCCGAGUGGUCCAAGGCGCUGCACUCAAGUUCUAAAGAGCUUCUCAGAUCAUCUGAGUGAAUUGCAGUCUCGAAAGGGGCGUGAGUUCGAGUCUCACUGUUGUCA
Molecule: non-coding RNA, 114 nt
Organism: Tulasnella sp. 418
Lineage: Eukaryota; Fungi; Basidiomycota; Agaricomycetes; Cantharellales; Tulasnellaceae
Source: the annotation of a GenBank genome assembly